This is a long non-coding RNA of Gorilla gorilla gorilla (western lowland gorilla), 328 nucleotides long. RefSeq lists it as uncharacterized. Lineage: Eukaryota; Metazoa; Chordata; Mammalia; Primates; Hominidae. The record is from RefSeq and is a predicted model, not a curated record. The transcript is spliced from 2 exons.
AGGAGUUCCACCUGGCUCAAUUGAUCCAGGGCGUCGAAGCCAGGGUGCUCAGGAGGCGGGGAGAGCUGGCCCAGGUUGAAUAGGACCCUGCUGGAUGACCGAGGCCAGAAUGCUAGCAUCUGCUUGCAACACGUAUAUGCACACCCAGACACAUGCAUGCACACACAUAUACAUGCAAACCGUCACUUCCAGCCAGCCAUCUUUUGGGAACCCUUGACGGUGCCAGGGCACCUGCUUAGCCACAGAUCUCCAUGAAGAAGCCAUUCCCUGCCCUUUCCAGAGUCUCUAUUUUCUUCAGUAUAAAAUAAAGAUAUUGUGACACUCUCCA